RNAcentral lists this unclassified non-coding RNA (387 nucleotides) under soil metagenome. RNAcentral's name for it is "partial contains 5.8S ribosomal RNA, internal transcribed spacer 2, and large subunit ribosomal RNA". The stretch from base 1 to 122 matches the Rfam family "5.8S ribosomal RNA", at positions 35 to 154 of the family's 154-position model. The record is from RNAcentral.
GAUGAAGAACGUAGCGAAAUGCGAUAAGUAAUGUGGAUUGCAGAAUUCAGUGAAUCAUCGAAUCUUUGAACGCACCUUGCACCCUUUGGACUGCUCCAAAGGGUAUGCUCGUUUGAGUGUCAUUGUACUCUCACACUCUCUGAUCCUUUGGAUUUGGGGAGCAGUGGACUUGGGUGCUUGCUGCUUCCUUGUGGCUCACCUGAAAUGCAUCAGUGCAUCUCUCGAUUGGACAUAGUACGGCGUGAUAAGUGUCUUCGCCGGCACCUCAUAUGAGGGUGGCCGAUCGGGAGCUCUGUGCUUUCAAACCGUCUUCGGACAACGCUGACAACUUGACCUCAAAUCGAGUAGGACUACCCGCUGAACUUAAGCAUAUCAAUAAGCGGAGGA